RNAcentral lists this ribosomal RNA (112 nucleotides) under Caerostris darwini. Lineage: Eukaryota; Metazoa; Arthropoda; Arachnida; Araneae; Araneidae. The record is from RNAcentral.
AACGGCCGUACAAUGCUGAAUAUACCGGUUCUCGUUAGAUCACCGAAGUUAAGCAUCAUUGGGCGCGGUCAGUACUUGGGAGGGUGACCACCUGGGAACACUGCGUGCCGUU